UACGGAGGGGGCGAGCGUUAUUCGGAAUCAUUGGGCGUAAAGGGCGCGUAGGCGGCUGUGUAAGUCAGGGGUGAAAUCCCUCGGCUCAACCGAGGAAUUGCCUCUGAAACUACACGGCUUGAGUCCGGGAGAGGGUGGUGGAAUUCCCAGUGUAGCGGUGAUAUGCGUAGAUACUGGGAGGAACACCGGUGGCGAAGGCGGCCACCUGGACCGGUACUGACGCUGAGGCGCGAAAGCGUGGGGAGCAAACAGG
RNAcentral lists this unclassified non-coding RNA (253 nucleotides) under uncultured Acidobacteriota bacterium. RNAcentral describes it as "uncultured Acidobacteria bacterium contains 16S-23S intergenic spacer region". It matches the Rfam family "Bacterial small subunit ribosomal RNA", at positions 524 to 776 of the family's 1533-position model. The record is from RNAcentral. Lineage: Bacteria; Pseudomonadati; Acidobacteriota.